Molecule: ribosomal RNA, 549 nt
Filed under: uncultured Glomeromycotina
Lineage: Eukaryota; Fungi; Glomeromycota
Description: SSU rRNA
Rfam family: Eukaryotic small subunit ribosomal RNA
Source: RNAcentral
UUGGAGGGCAAGUCUGGUGCCAGCAGCCGCGGUAAUUCCAGCUCCAAUAGCGUAUAUUAAAGUUGUUGCAGUUAAAAAGCUCGUAGUUGAAUUUCGGGACCGGUGGGUUGGUCGUGCCUCCGGUACGUACUGGUCUUACUGGUUCCUCCCUUCUGAAGAACCAYGAUGUCAUUAAUUUGGUGUCGUGGGGAAUCAGGACUGUUACUUUGAAAAAAUUAGAGUGUUUAAAGCAGGCUAAAGCUUGAAUAGAUUAGCAUGGAAUAACGAAAUAGGACGUUUGAUCUUAUUUUGUUGGUUUCUAAGAUCGACGUAAUGAUUAAUAGGGAUAGUUGGGGGCAUUAGUAUUCAAUUGUCAGAGGUGAAAUUCUUGGAUUUAUUGAAGACUAACUACUGCGAAAGCAUUUGCCAAGGAUGUUUUCAUUAAUCAAGAACGAAAGUUAGGGGAUCGAAGACGAUCAGAUACCGUCGUAGUCUUAACCAUAAACUAUGCCGACUAGGGAUCGGAUGAUGUUAAUUUUUUAAUGACUCAKKSGGCGCCUUACGGGAAAC